ACAUACUUCCUUACAACGCCAUA
This 23-nucleotide microRNA is filed under the name Capitella teleta. RNAcentral describes it as "Cte-Mir-1_5p* (star (passenger))". Lineage: Eukaryota; Metazoa; Annelida; Polychaeta; Capitellidae. The record is from RNAcentral.